ACGCUGGCGGCAGGCUUAACACAUGCAAGUCGAACGAUAAGCUAGACUUCGGUUUAGUGGACAGUGGCAGACGGGUGAGUAACGCGUGGGAAUCUACCUUUGAGUGGGGAAUAACAAUUAGAAAUGAUUGCUAAUACCGCAUACACCCUCCGGGGGAAAGGCUUCGGCCGCUCUUAGAUGAGCCCGCGUACGAUUAGUUUGUUGGUGAGGUAAUGGCUCACCAAGACUACGAUCGUUAGCUGGUUUGAGAGGAUGAUCAGCCACACUGGGACUGAGACACGGCCCAGACUCCUACGGGAGGCAGCAGUGGGGAAUAUUGGACAAUGGGCGAAAGCCUGAUCCAGCCAUGCCGCGUGAGUGAAGAAGGCCUUAGGGUUGUAAAACUCUUUCGACAGGGAAGAUAAUGACGGUACCUGUAUAAGAAGCUCCGGCUAACUCCGUGCCAGCAGCCGCGGUAAUACGGAGGGGGCAAGCGUUGCUCGGAAUUACUGGGCGUAAAGCGAGCGUAGGCGGUAAAUCAAGUUGGUGGUGAAAGCCCGGAGCUCAACUCCGGAACUGCCAUCAAAACUGGUUUACUUGAGAUUGGUAGAGGAAAAUGGAAUUCCUAGUGUAGAGGUGAAAUUCGUAGAUAUUGGGAAGAACAUCGGUGGCGAAGGCGAUUUUCUGGGCCAAAUCUGACGCUGAGGUUCGAAAGCGUGGGUAGCAAACAGGAUUAGAUACCCUGGUAGUCCACGCCGUAAACGAUGAGUGCUAGACGUUGGAAAUUUAUUUUUCAGUGUCGUAGUUAACGCAUUAAGCACUCCGCCUGGGGAGUACGG
This 818-nucleotide ribosomal RNA is filed under the name uncultured Alphaproteobacteria bacterium. Its description in RNAcentral is "bacterial SSU rRNA". It matches the Rfam family "Bacterial small subunit ribosomal RNA", at positions 33 to 885 of the family's 1533-position model. The record is from RNAcentral. Lineage: Bacteria; Pseudomonadati; Pseudomonadota; Alphaproteobacteria.